UUGGUUGCUGAUGUUUGAUAUUCUCGAGGCUUUUCGUUGCCUCGUUGUCGAACACUUCGUUGCAAAGAGGACAUAACAUUAUUUCAAAGCCUUUCAUUUUUCACAUGUUUAAAAAGUCGAUUAAAUCCUCCUUAGCCUUUGGAUAAACCAUUUUGAUUUUCUUAGUAUAAUCCAGCAUAGUAACCUCUUUGACCUCUAUGUCGAGAUCUUCAAUAGUCUCGACCAUCAUAAUUUCUACAGGCUCGACCAA
This 250-nucleotide long non-coding RNA is filed under the name Lathyrus oleraceus (garden pea). Its description in RNAcentral is "Pisum sativum (pea) long non-coding RNA (PSAT_LNC012834)". The record is from RNAcentral. Lineage: Eukaryota; Viridiplantae; Streptophyta; Magnoliopsida; Fabales; Fabaceae.